RNAcentral lists this ribosomal RNA (465 nucleotides) under Triticum aestivum (bread wheat). Its description in RNAcentral is "partial small subunit ribosomal RNA". The record is from RNAcentral. Lineage: Eukaryota; Viridiplantae; Streptophyta; Magnoliopsida; Poales; Poaceae.
CCUUUUAAGGUGUUAGAGAAAAUAAAUGAUAAUGCAUAUAAACUUGAGCUACCUGUAGAUUUUGGGGUUAGUCCCACUUUUAACAUUGCAGAUUUGAAGCCUUAUUUGGGUGAGGAAGAUGCGCUUCCGUCGAGGACGACUUCAUUUCAAGAAGGGGAGGAUGAUGAGGACAUCAAUACCAUUGUUACACCCACAACACCUACUGUUACAUAUACUGGACCAAUUACUAGAGCUCGUGCACGCCAAUUUAAUUACCAGGUACUUUCGUUUCUUGGUAAUGAUUCUAAUGUUCAUGAGAUUAUGAUGCUGCCUAAAUUGGAUACAUUUGUUUUGCUUACAAAUGAAGGGCCUAGCUUGGAGAAGGAUGAACACUGGAGCAAGAACACACAUGGAGUUGAUGGCAUGCGCAAGGGGAUCAAGAACGGAGUUACAAGUGAUGAUUUCAGGACUUUAAAGCCGCCAUAA